RNAcentral lists this long non-coding RNA (555 nucleotides) under Homo sapiens (human). Its description in RNAcentral is "non-protein coding lnc-CRH-1:1". Lineage: Eukaryota; Metazoa; Chordata; Mammalia; Primates; Hominidae. The record is from RNAcentral.
AAUUGUAAGAUGAUUAGUUCCUGUAAAUUGUCUUUCAUGACAGAAAGUUCACACACAUCCUUUCACUGCCCUCCAUCCAUUACCUGGAGUCUCAAACAGAACAAUCAAUGUAUUAUGAUGUAAAUAGAAAGGGCAAUCGUGUCUGUCAAGACCAGGGCUUGUAAGAGAAGCAGAAACGUGCUGGUUUUCUGAUGCUCUGAGUCAUCUUCCCAGGGUCAGUUACUUCUCAACUUAUGGAAAAAUAGAUGCACAGGUAACAAAGUCCUUGCCAUUUUCUCAGGAAAGGAGGCUUACUGGAAAUCUACCAUGUUUGGGGCAAGAGAAAUGGAUAUGGCAACUUACAAAGAUGAUCAAAGCCCUGCUACACAGUUUACUGUCCAGCAAAGGAGGUACAUAUUGUACCAGUAACUAUAACAAAAUGUGAGCUUUACAAUGAAGGACAUUCAUGCUAUUAGGAAAAUAUGAAGCACAGGUGCUGAACCUAAUAUAGGAAUCUGGGGAAGAUUUCUUCAACAAAUUAUUUUGCAAUGAAUUAAUUAAUUAAUGUAAAUUGAC